UACAGAGACCUCAAGCGUUAUCCGGAAUCAUUGGGCGUAAAGCGUACCGAUAGGUGGUUUGGUUAGUCUUGUGUGAAAUCCCGAAGCUCAACUUCGGAUUUGCGCAGGAUACUGCCAGACUAGAGGGGCAAAGAGGUAACUGGAACGAGCGGUGUAGUAGUGAAAUGCGUUGAUAUCGUUCGGAACACCGAAAGCGAAGGCAGGUUACUGGGUGCCACCUGACACUGCUAGGACGAAAGCGUGGGGAGCGAAUGGG
RNAcentral lists this ribosomal RNA (256 nucleotides) under uncultured bacterium. RNAcentral's name for it is "partial 16S ribosomal RNA". It matches the Rfam family "Bacterial small subunit ribosomal RNA", at positions 524 to 776 of the family's 1533-position model. The record is from RNAcentral.